CUAAUACAUGCAAGUCGAACGCGCAGCGAGAGGUGCUUGCACCUUUCAAGCGAGUGGCGAACGGGUGAGUAACACGUGGAUAACCUGCCUCAAGGCUGGGGAUAACAUUUGGAAACAGAUGCUAAUACCGAAUAAAACUUAGUAUCGCAUGAUAUCAAGUUAAAAGGCGCUACGGCGUCACCUAGAGAUGGAUCCGCGGUGCAUUAGUUAGUUGGUGGGGUAAAGGCUUACCAAGACGAUGAUGCAUAGCCGAGUUGAGAGACUGAUCGGCCACAUUGGGACUGAGACACGGCCCAAACUCCUACGGGAGGCUGCAGUAGGGAAUCUUCCACAAUGGGCGCAAGCCUGAUGGAGCAACGCCGCGUGUGUGAUGAAGGCUUUCGGGUCGUAAAGCACUGUUGUAUGGGAAGAAAUGCUAAAAUAGGGAAUGAUUUUAGUUUGACGGUACCAUACCAGAAAGGGACGGCUAAAUACGUGCCAGCAGCCGCGGUAAUACGUAUGUCCCGAGCGUUAUCCGGAUUUAUUGGGCGUAAAGCGAGCGCAGACGGUUGAUUAAGUCUGAUGUGAAAGCCCGGAGCUCAACUCCGGAAUGGCAUUGGAAACUGGUUAACUUUGAGUGUUUGUAGAGGUAAGUGGAACUCCAUGUGUAGCGGUGGAAUGCGUAGAUAUAUGGAAGAACACCAGUGGCGAAGGCGGCUUACUGGACAACAACUGACGUUGAGGCUCGAAAGUGUGGGUAGCAAACAGGAUUAGAUACCCUGGUAGUCCACACCGUAAACGAUGAAUACUAGGUGUUAGGAGGUUUCCGCCUCUUAGUGCCGAAGCUAACGCAUUAAGUA
Molecule: ribosomal RNA, 839 nt
Filed under: Leuconostoc citreum
Lineage: Bacteria; Bacillati; Bacillota; Bacilli; Lactobacillales; Lactobacillaceae
Description: bacterial SSU rRNA
Rfam family: Bacterial small subunit ribosomal RNA
Source: RNAcentral